AUUGAACGCUGGCGGCAGGCCUAACACAUGCAAGUCGAGCGGCAGCGGAAAGUAGCUUGCUACUUUGCCGGCGAGCGGCGGACGGGUGAGUAAUGUCUGGGAAACUGCCUGAUGGAGGGGGAUAACUACUGGAAACGGUAGCUAAUACCGCAUAACGUCGCAAGACCAAAGAGGGGGACCUUCGGGCCUCUUGCCAUCAGAUGUGCCCAGAUGGGAUUAGCUAGUAGGUGGGGUAACGGCUCACCUAGGCGACGAUCCCUAGCUGGUCUGGGAGGAGGACCAGCCACACUGGAAAUGAGACACGGUACAGACUCCUACGGGAGGCAGCAGUGGGGAAUAUUGCACAAUGGGCGCAAGCCUGAUGCAGCCAUGCCGCGUGUAUGAAGAAGGCCUUCGGGUUGUAAAGUACUUUCAGCGGGGAGGAAGGUGUUGAGGUUAAUAACCUCAGCAAUUGACGUUACCCGCAGAAGAAGCACCGGCUAACUCCGUGCCAGCAGCCGCCGCCG
This 506-nucleotide ribosomal RNA is filed under the name uncultured bacterium. Its description in RNAcentral is "partial 16S ribosomal RNA". It matches the Rfam family "Bacterial small subunit ribosomal RNA", at positions 30 to 523 of the family's 1533-position model. The record is from RNAcentral.